Molecule: ribosomal RNA, 750 nt
Filed under: uncultured bacterium
Lineage: Bacteria
Description: bacterial SSU rRNA
Rfam family: Bacterial small subunit ribosomal RNA
Source: RNAcentral
GGGGGAUGCUAAACUGCAGUCGAGCGAGCUUGCCUAGAUGAUUUUAGUGCUUGCACUAAAUGAAACUAGAUACAAGCGAGCGGCGGACGGGUGAGUAACACGUGGGUAACCUGCCCAAGAGACUGGGAUAACACCUGGAAACAGAUGCUAAUACCGGAUAACAACACUAGACGCAUGUCUAGAGUUUGAAAGAUGGUUCUGCUAUCACUCUUGGAUGGACCUGCGGUGCAUUAGCUAGUUGGUAAGGUAACGGCUUACCAAGGCAAUGAUGCAUAGCCGAGUUGAGAGACUGAUCGGCCACAUUGGGACUGAGACACGGCCCAAACUCCUACGGGAGGCAGCAGUAGGGAAUCUUCCACAAUGGACGAAAGUCUGAUGGAGCAACGCCGCGUGAGUGAAGAAGGGUUUCGGCUCGUAAAGCUCUGUUGGUAGUGAAGAAAGAUAGAGGUAGUAACUGGCCUUUAUUUGACGGUAAUUACUUAGAAAGUCACGGCUAACUACGUGCCAGCAGCCGCGGUAAUACGUAGGUGGCAAGCGUUGUCCGGAUUUAUUGGGCGUAAAGCGAGUGCAGGCGGUUCAAUAAGUCUGAUGUGAAAGCCUUCGGCUCAACCGGAGAAUUGCAUCAGAAACUGUUGAACUUGAGUGCAGAAGAGGAGAGUGGAACUCCAUGUGUAGCGGUGGAAUGCGUAGAUAUAUGGAAGAACACCAGUGGCGAAGGCGGCUCUCUGGUCUGCAACUGACGCUGAGGCU